GCCGCGGUUGGUGAAGUCGGUGCCGCCGGCGGUCUCGCCGUCGCGGACGGCGGAGGCGCGGUCGACGCGGAUCACGUCGGCGCCGAGGUC
RNAcentral lists this transfer RNA (90 nucleotides) under Actinomadura citrea. RNAcentral describes it as "tRNA-Glu". The record is from RNAcentral. Lineage: Bacteria; Bacillati; Actinomycetota; Actinomycetes; Streptosporangiales; Thermomonosporaceae.